This 259-nucleotide non-coding RNA is filed under the name Azadirachta indica (neem). The record is from RNAcentral. Lineage: Eukaryota; Viridiplantae; Streptophyta; Magnoliopsida; Sapindales; Meliaceae.
GUUGGGGCGUGUGGGGUUGGGAGUUUGCACGCGCCGCUCUAAACCCUAAACCUUUCUCCAUCCACUGUGGGGCAUAUUGUGGGGUCUUUAUCCGACGUUUCCCCCGUGCGGUUAAAACAAGAAACGUCGAUGCACAACGCGUGUGAAUUUCUCAAGUUGACUAUACUGCCCCUGAGAGGUUUGUAGGUGGUACUGCCAACAUCUGACAGGUGUCUCGCAGCUACUGGUCGUCCUCGCCUCUCAAGCACCCCCAAUUUUU